RNAcentral lists this long non-coding RNA (3558 nucleotides) under Brassica rapa (field mustard). RNAcentral's name for it is "long non-coding RNA (BRAP_LNC001950)". Lineage: Eukaryota; Viridiplantae; Streptophyta; Magnoliopsida; Brassicales; Brassicaceae. The record is from RNAcentral.
AACUAGCUCUUGCACCAUCUCUAAGGAGCUUGUAGCUAGUGACCCUUCAAGUGUAGAAAGAGAUGACAUGGUCAUGGAAAGGGUCGAGAAAGUUUCUGAGAGGGUUAGCGUUUUUGAAUCGACAGACCUUCCAGAUGAAGAAGAGGCGGAGUUCCUUAAAUCCCUUGGGUGGGACGAAAACAAUACUGAGGUAGAAGCCCUCACAGACGAGGAGAUCAGAGCCUUCUAUGAACAGGUAUAUGAGCAUAACAACACUCUUACUUCGGUUGCUUUGAUUCUCUCUCAUUGUUUUUUUUCUAAUUCAUCUGACUUUACAUACAGCACAAGGAGGUGAAGCCAUCACUGAUGCAAACGCUGCCUAUCAUUAAAGAGGCAACUGAGGACGCAACUCUCAACUCGUGAUCCGAUUUUGAAGAUAGUUUUCUCACUUCUCUUUCCUUUUUCUUUUUAGUUUUAUUACUUGGUGGAGUGGACAAGAAGGUGGGGGAGGCUUCAGUUGCACUUUUGAGUGUUGUUCUACUUCAGAUAAGCUACAAAAUGAGUUUUUGUACAUCUGUUGUUCUGAAGAUAGAAAGAGCUUUUGUUUUGCUAUAGCUUCCUUAGGUUUCUAAUGUUUGAUAUGAUGAGGGGAAGGUCAGGUCAUAAAACUUUGUUGGUGGUAUAAAGAAAAUUUAAAGGCUUUCGGUUUCUUUCUUAAAAAAUAUAAAUUUCAUCUUUUGCCAUUUUUGUUAAUUUGGUUUAGUUAAUUUCUCUGCUUUCCUCCUAGCUCUGUAGUCUAGAACCAAUCUUCUUAAAACUGGCCUGAACCGGUGGUUGAACCGGAUUCAACGGUGGUUGAACCGGAUUCAACCUUGACCUAGAGACAUAGCCGGAUUGUGUUGGUAGUAAAAUCUAAAGUAAAUCAAACUGACUAUAAACCACAAAAAUAAAAAACCGCGAACUAUUGAACUAGCUUUGAACCAAAUACGACUAUUUUGUGCAAAAUUUUGAAUUUUACAUUGACAAUUAUUUUUAUUUAAUGAACUAUUUUUCUUUUUUUAUCUAACAAUGUAUUUUAGAUAUAUAGAUUUUCAAAAAAAAAUAUUACAGAGGUUUUUAAAUUUCCACCAAUAUACUUAUACACGGUUUUAACUAUUUUACGAAGUUUUUACAAGUUACACAACCUAUAAUCUAAACUUUAACCUAAAACCAAAAUCUAAAGUAUAACUUACUGAUUUUUUUCCACUUUAUUUUGGAUUCAUAUUGAUUUCUAACAAAGACAAUUUGGCUUUCACCCACCUCAAUAGUCUAGAACAGUAAACACCAAACUCGGUUUGCUUAUGUAUUAAUAAGUUUUAUAUUUUCUCAACAUUGAGAAAAAUACAUGUCAAUGUACUAUAUGUUGUUACCUUUGCAAUUUUUGAUAUUUGUUUACCAACACUGACUAUCUUCUUAAAAUAUUUGCAUCCAAUCUCCGAUUCUCUAGAUAGAACUACAAAAAAAUUUCAUAAGUAAUUUUUGUAUGUUUAUCGUUCUAUUUGCGUAUAGCUUUCCAGACCACAUUUUAUUUGAGUAACAAAAAUGAUUUUUUAUGUUCAAAAAGCAUUUUCAUUAAAUAGUAGAGUCACAAAAAGUGCCUCCACCGAUAUGCCUCCCCAUGAGAGAAGCUACAAUCUUCCAACUAUCAGGAACAAGUGCUCUCAUUGGCACUAGGUAGUAGGCCAAGGAUGUACCCACAUUUGUUACAACUGUUUAUGAAACAGCAAAUGAUUCAAGUUUAUGAUACUUACGAGUUUAAAAGAAAAAAAAACAAGCUUUUCGUUAAUUAUGAGGCUUUUGCUACCACAAGUUACAUGAAGUGGUUCUUACUUGAUCCAAUCAAGAAAGCCAAGAGAAGCUUUCCAGUGGACUUAACCACACGGCGCAUAUCAGCUCUAAAGAGGAACAGCUAAAGGGAGCAUGGAGUUCAACACAACAGCAAAAGCAGGAGCUUCUGAAGAAAUGAUCCCAAGAUUACUAGCUGCAAGACCAAUCAGUGUGCUCACCAACGCACCACUCACCGCACUUCCCACCUUCGUCUUCUCCGACCUGUACUUUCAGAGUAGGAAAUUAAAAUUAAAAUCAUUAUAUCAAAACCAACAAUACAAUGAAAGGUGUGAAGAAUGUGUACCAUAGACCAAUAGAACCUGUGGCGAAGAGAGCAGUCCAAGUCACCCACCCACUCUUUGUUACAUGAAAUGAGAGGCGUACUUAAUUGCAAUCUCAUGAUGAGUGGGGUUUAGGGUUUUUGCACGAUUAAGAAAUUACAAAAUUUUAUUCAAUUUUUCUCGUUUAUAUAAAAACAACAAUAAAUGCAAAUAAUUCAACCAAUAAAGAAUCAUACUGCAAAAUACAAAUAGUCAAAAACAUAAAAUUGCAUUUACUUCUUACAUGGAAACUUUAAAACAUCACUUAAAAUGAAACAAUUUUUUUCUUGUAAAACACCACUUAAAAUGAUACAGAGGGAGUAUAACAAUAUGAAAAUAUGAAAUUAAAAUAGUAGGUAUUAAAUUUUAUUAAAGAAACUACUGUAGAGUAUAAAAAAUGAAUGAGUAUUGAAUUAUUAUGUGAAAGAGAGAGAAAAUGAUGUGGAAGAAAUAAAAGAUGAUGUCAAGGGUGUUGUGUGUUGAAUUUUAUUAAACAAUUCAUUUCAAUCAACACCCCUGUCCAAGACGUAGGCAGAUCCGUCGUCUCCUAGUUGUGAGAAGGCGCUGGAGUCGAGACAAAACGGCGUCGAGUGAGAGAAGCGGAGACGGAAAUGGGGGAGAAAAAUCUCCGGCGAGACCAUCGGAUACGAAGGCGAAACAGUCGGAGACGACGGCGGAAGAGGAGCAGGAGACGGAGGAAACAAGGCGAUGAGCGACGAGGAGAGAGAAGAGGAGGCGGAUCCGUUGUCUCCUAGUCGUGAGAAGGCGCCGGAGUCGAGUCGAGAUGAAACAGCAUCGAGUGAAGAUGCAAACUCUGAGUCCCGUUGUUAUUACUGCUAAUAUAUCUUCUUAGGCCAGUUAUUGCUGCUAUUAAUCUUCUGAAUCCGGUUAUUGCUGCCAAUUUAUCUUCUGAUUUGUUUACUCUUGAAAUUUGCUUACCAUUAAACAAUUGUUCAAACAUCUUCCAACCAUCGAAACAAUAAAAAAGUUAUAACAAAUAUUAAACAUUUAAUAGAAACAUGAACCGUGAAACAAAUCAAAGGUUCCCUUUGAGACCCACCACAUCCUCCUCCACCCGCUUCAACCUACCAUCCAUUUUAUCUAUUUGUUACAUGACCAAACUGAGCUGCGGCAGAUGUGGCGGAACGGGCGGCUGCAGGUGUGGGCAAGGUACGCGGAACCAAGAAAACUGUGGGCAAUGUACCCAGAGCCAAGAAACCGACACUUGACGACGUGAUAUCCGCCGUGGAGACGAUGACGGAACUAUAUGUCAGGUAUUUUUUGACAAUGCCGCAUCAAAAAGACGCGAUAUUGCCCAAUCAGAAAAGAUGGGUCCGGUUGGAACUCUGACUAUUGAGGUGGGGUGAAAGCCAAAUUGUCUUCGUUAGAAAUC